UGGCAUUUAUCUUCUGAUGGGAGUGGUGGUUGUAGAUGCAACAGCAGAAUACAAGAGCCAGGAUGUGGCUUUCUUUCCUUACCAGGCACGUCCAUUGCUCUGUGUGGACACCUGUAUUUGUGGGAGGAAUAUCCAGCUCCUUUGACUGGCUAUGAGCAGUUCUGCCCACUGAUCAUUCAGAGUUUCUCUCCUCUGGUGAGGACAGUAAAUUGUCUCAAGAAUUUUCUUCAACAGACCUGGGAAGCUGGUGUCCUCAGAGCUAAGCCAUCCUGUGUUUGUUUGUUCCAUACAAGUCCAGAGACUGAGGCAGCGAGGGCGGCAGUGCAGCCAAACUUGGAGUGCAGAGCCUUGUUCCUCAUGCCCUGACAACAGGACUUCCAAGUUGUGCACUGCAUUGGAAAUGUUGCAUCCCCAGGCUUGGAUAUGUCUCUGACCCAAGAGAGGUGCUCAGAGGAGAGAAGGAAGCUUACUGAGAUUAAUGCCUAGUCUGGUAAGUCUCCAUGUGACUCCUUGCGUUGACCCCAACCUAGUUAUUGCUGUGAAGAAACAAGCUUUAUAAGAUCAGGAACAAAGACACUGAUGUCUUCUAUGCUUUCUUUCUGAAAAAGAAACAAAAUUAAAACCAGACAACGUAAUUUGGCCUCUUCUGGCACAAGACUUCUGAGCAGAAUAGGAAAAACGACCUUUUGCCAUCCCAAGAACAAAUUAUUUUGUC
Molecule: long non-coding RNA, 715 nt
Filed under: Taeniopygia guttata (zebra finch)
Lineage: Eukaryota; Metazoa; Chordata; Aves; Passeriformes; Estrildidae
Description: lncRNA (ENSTGUG00000019394.1)
Source: RNAcentral